UCAAAUGUAAGAUUUCUGUGGGAAAAGCAAGUCUUAUGGCUUGACUGGUGUGCAGAUCUGUGUUUGACAAUGUAUUGACUAUCCACGGACUUCAGGUGGAAGGGGUUUUCAAUCACGAUUUUUUCCCACCAUAACUUUCUUGUUUUUUUUCUUUGCGAAUAUUUACACCAAGAGAAAUACAAACACACGGAUAGACAGCCAUAAAUUAUGCUUUACUUGUUAAUUCCCAGUGGGAUGGGAUACCUCCUGGCUGAGGGAUGUAAAUUAGUUUGAGCUAAUUAUACCCAUGGGUCUAUAGUCUUAUCCCAAAACACAAAAACAUUGGACAUUUCAAUGGAAAGGCUAAUUCUCCCUCCUACCCCUGUGUUUCUAAACACUUCAAACAAAGUGUCCGUCUGUAAACAUAUGUUGAAAUGUAAACAACGCAAUUGAGACCAUAACUAGUAAAUAUACAAAUUUUGUCA
This is a non-coding RNA of Pelobates cultripes (western spadefoot toad), 464 nucleotides long. The record is from the annotation of a GenBank genome assembly. Lineage: Eukaryota; Metazoa; Chordata; Amphibia; Anura; Pelobatidae.